GACGAACGCUGGCGGCGUGCUUAACACAUGCAAGUCGAACGGAAAGGCCCUGCUUUUGUGGGGUGCUCGAGUGGCGCACGGGUGAGUAUCACGUGUGUAUCCUGCCCUUGACUUUGGGAUAACUUCAGGAAACUGGGGCUAAUACCGGAUAGGAGCUCCUGCUGCAUGGUGGGGGUUGGAAAGUUUCGGCGGUUGGGGAUGGACUCGCGGCUUAUCAGCUUGUUGGUGGGGUAGUGGCUUACCAAGGCUUUGACGGGUAGCCGGCCUGGGAGGGUGACCGGCCACAGUGGGACUGAGAUACGGCCCAGACUCCUACGGGAGGCAGAAGUGGGGAAUAUUGCACGAUGGGCGGAAGCCUGAUGCAGCAACGCCGCGUGCGGGAUGACGGCCUUCGGGUUGUAAACCGCUUUCGCCUGUGACGAAGCGUGAGUGACGGUAAUGGGUAAAGAAGCACCGGCUAACUACGUG
RNAcentral lists this ribosomal RNA (468 nucleotides) under uncultured bacterium. Its description in RNAcentral is "partial 16S ribosomal RNA". It matches the Rfam family "Bacterial small subunit ribosomal RNA", at positions 28 to 507 of the family's 1533-position model. The record is from RNAcentral.